AUGUUGAUAGACUUUCUUCACUGGAAUUUGGAAUUCCGCCAGCACUCAGUACAGAUAUUGUGCUUGCUUCACUCCCCCCCAUCUUACGAUGGUUUUACCAUGAAUUACAACAUGAACGGGAUGGAGAAAAGUGCAAACGAGUUGUUUGCUAUGCUCAAAACUGCGGAAGAUGGGAUGCAGAAGAACAAAGAAGUGUUGAUGGUCAACAAGACUACCAGUUUCAAGAAGAAGGGCAAGUCCAAGAAGAUAUCUACUAGUGUCGGUAAGACCGUCUCUCGGAAGAAGAACAAGGGCGAAGCCACUAAGGAGACUGAAUGUUUCUACUGCAAAUAG
Molecule: ribosomal RNA, 333 nt
Filed under: Triticum aestivum (bread wheat)
Lineage: Eukaryota; Viridiplantae; Streptophyta; Magnoliopsida; Poales; Poaceae
Description: partial small subunit ribosomal RNA
Source: RNAcentral